CCCUUAGAGUUUGAUCCUGGCUCAGAAUCAACGCUGGCGGCGUGCCUAACACAUGCAAGUCGAACGCGAAAACCCCGCAAGGGGUUAGUAGAGUGGCAAACGGGUGAGUAACGCGUGGGUGACCUGCCUUCGAGCGGGGGAUAACGUUCCGAAAGGGACGCUAAUACCGCAUAACAUCCUGCCUUUGAAGAGGUGGAGAUCAAAGCUAGGGAUCGCAAGACCUGGCACUUGAAGAGGGGCCCGCGUCUGAUUAGCUAGUUGGUGAGGUAAUGGCUCACCAAGGCUUCGAUCAGUAUCCGGCCUGAGAGGGCGGACGGACACACUGGGACUGAGACACGGCCCAGACUCCUACGGGAGGCAGCAGUGGGGAAUUGUUCGCAAUGGGCGCAAGCCUGACGACGCAACGCCGCGUGGAGGAUGAAGAUUUUCGGAUCGUAAACUCCUGUCGAAUGGGACGAACAGAUUGCGGGUUAACAGCCCGCAGUCCUGACGGUACCGUUAAAGGAAACCCCGGCUAACUCCGUGCCAGCAGCCGCGGUAAUACGGGGGGGGUAAGCGUUGUUCGGAAUUACUGGGCGUAAAGGGCUCGUAGGCGGCCAACUAAGUCAGACGUGAAAUCCCUCAGCUUAACUGGGGAACUGCGUCUGAUACUGGAUGGCUUGGAUUCGGGAGAGGAAUGCGGAAUUCCAGGUGUAGCGGUGAAAUGCGUAGAUAUCUGGAGGAACACCGGUGGC
Molecule: ribosomal RNA, 734 nt
Filed under: uncultured bacterium
Lineage: Bacteria
Description: bacterial SSU rRNA
Rfam family: Bacterial small subunit ribosomal RNA
Source: RNAcentral